CUAUUAGCAAUUAUUAAUAGUAAAAUCUGCUCCAUGUYCAAUAAAUAGCCGCAAUUUGUGCUAAGGUAGCAUAAUCAUUUGUCUUUUAAAUGAAGACUAGAACAAAAGAUUCAACAUUUUCAGUUUAUUUGCCUAAUUUAUCUAAUUAAAUUUAUCCUAAAUGUAAAAAGACAUUUAUUUAAAAGAAAGACGAUAAGACCCUAUUGAACUUAACUGUAGUUAAACUGGGGCAGUAAAUUAAUUAUUAUUUUAAUAUAAAUUACUACAUAAAUAUCUAAUAUCAUUAAAUAAUUCAGUUACCAUAGGGAUAACAGCGUAAUAAUUUUCUAAAGACCUUAUUUAAAAUAAAGAUUACGACCUCGAUGUUGAAUUAAUAACCUAAUUAAGGCAAAACUUAAAAAAGGAAGUCUGUUCGACUUUUAAAAAAUUACAUGAUUUGAGUUCAGACCGGUGUAAGCCAGGUCGGCUUCUAUCUUCUAAAAAAUUUYUUACAGUACGAAAGGACCUAARAAUCUAAUA
This 519-nucleotide ribosomal RNA is filed under the name Habronattus fallax. RNAcentral describes it as "partial 16S ribosomal RNA". It matches the Rfam family "Bacterial large subunit ribosomal RNA", at positions 1833 to 2706 of the family's 2925-position model. Lineage: Eukaryota; Metazoa; Arthropoda; Arachnida; Araneae; Salticidae. The record is from RNAcentral.